AAGUGAGGACGACCUCACCGCUCUCAUCACUAUCGGGGACGGCCCCA
RNAcentral lists this non-coding RNA (47 nucleotides) under Vibrio jasicida. RNAcentral's name for it is "mini-ykkC". It matches the Rfam family "Guanidine-II riboswitch aptamer (mini-ykkC)". From Rfam's summary of the family: Simpler in structure and has fewer highly conserved nucleotide positions than the ykkC-yxkD leader. Despite this each of its two stem-loop structures directly bind free guanidine. The record is from RNAcentral. Lineage: Bacteria; Pseudomonadati; Pseudomonadota; Gammaproteobacteria; Vibrionales; Vibrionaceae.